This 29-nucleotide small RNA is filed under the name Bombyx mori (domestic silkworm). Its description in RNAcentral is "ovarian small RNA-13304". Lineage: Eukaryota; Metazoa; Arthropoda; Insecta; Lepidoptera; Bombycidae. The record is from RNAcentral.
CAGGGACGAGUGGGUUCCUACUCGAUAUC